CCCUUAGAUGUUCUGGGCCGCACGCGCGCUACACUGAUGCAUUCAACGAGUCCAACCUUGACCGAGAGGUCCGGGUAAUCUUUGAAACUGCAUCGUGAUGGGGCUAGAUUAUUGCAAUUAUUAAUCUUCAACGAGGAAUGCCUAGUAAGCGUGAUUCAUCAAAUCGCGUUGAUUACGUCCCUGCCCUUUGUACACACCGCCCGUCGCUCCUACCGAUUGAGUGUGUUGGUGAGGAGUUUGGAUCGGCCUCGGAAGGUGGUUCGCCACCGUCCGUAGCUGAGAAGUUCUCCAAACCGCCCCACUUAGAGGAAGGAGAAGUCGUAACA
RNAcentral lists this ribosomal RNA (326 nucleotides) under uncultured eukaryote. RNAcentral's name for it is "partial 18S ribosomal RNA". It matches the Rfam family "Eukaryotic small subunit ribosomal RNA", at positions 1470 to 1796 of the family's 1831-position model. The record is from RNAcentral.